UACGUAGGGUGCGAGCGUUGCCCGGAUUUAUUGGGCGUAAAGGGCGCGCAGGCGGCUACGCACGUCCGUUGUGUAAUCGCUCGGCUCAACUGGGCGGGGUCGGCGGAUACGGCGUAGCUGGUGCAAGCUAGGGGGCAAUGGAAUUCCUGGUGUAGCGGUGAAAUGCGCAGAUAUCAGGAGGAACACCGGUGGCGAAGGCGGCGAGCUGGUCCAUUACUGACGCUGAGGCGCGACAGCGUGGGGAGCAAACAGG
RNAcentral lists this ribosomal RNA (253 nucleotides) under uncultured bacterium. RNAcentral describes it as "partial 16S ribosomal RNA". It matches the Rfam family "Bacterial small subunit ribosomal RNA", at positions 524 to 776 of the family's 1533-position model. The record is from RNAcentral.